Molecule: long non-coding RNA, 466 nt
Organism: Dioscorea cayenensis subsp. rotundata (Guinea yam)
Lineage: Eukaryota; Viridiplantae; Streptophyta; Magnoliopsida; Dioscoreales; Dioscoreaceae
Exons: 4
Source: RefSeq, a predicted model, not a curated record
UUUAGAGGACUAAACUCUUUUCAAGGGGGGGAGAUUGUAAGUUUAAAGGGGAGCAGCUCAAAGCUUGUUGUUGUGGCAUCUUCAGGAGGCUGAAUUGCUAGGUUGUUCUUCUCUUGAAGCUUGGAGUUGGAGGGAGAUUCUCUUCACCGGCGGAUCCUCGGAGAGAUUAAAGAUCCAUACCGGGCUGUAGUUCGCGGGGCUUGGUGAACCCAACUCUGUAGCUCGGAGCCAGGAGAAGAUCAAGUUUAGGUCUGGGGAGGGUGUCAGAGAGUCGUAUUUGUCUGCGUUAUCAGUAUCUUGUUAUUACCUGCUUGAGAGUGUAAGACUUGUAUUCUGACUGUAUUUGUACUAUGCAAACUGUUGGAUUGUAUUUGUAUUCUGUAGGGCUGCUAAAGCCCGUACUUGUAGUAUGUCAGUUUUCAGUACCCUAUUUGUGCUUUUAUGUUCUAUUCAUAUUUGCUUGUUA